RNAcentral lists this ribosomal RNA (253 nucleotides) under uncultured bacterium. Its description in RNAcentral is "partial 16S ribosomal RNA". It matches the Rfam family "Bacterial small subunit ribosomal RNA", at positions 524 to 776 of the family's 1533-position model. The record is from RNAcentral.
UACGAAGGGGGCUAGCGUUGUUCGGAUUUACUGGGCGUAAAGCGCGUGUAGGCGGGUCGUUAAGUUGGGGGUGAAAUCCCGAGGCUCAACCUCGGAACUGCCUUCAAAACUGGCGACCUGGAGCGUGAUAGAGGCGAGUGGAAUUCCGAGUGUAGAGGUGAAAUUCGUAGAUAUUCGGAGGAACACCAGUGGCGAAGGCGACUCGCUGGAUCAUUGCUGACGCUGAGAUGCGAAAGCGUGGGGAGCAAACAGG